UACUACCGAAGCUACGGCAUCAGUAAUGAUGGGUAGGGGAGCUUCCCAUACGGGUUGAAGCAUGACCGUAAGGACAUGUGGACAGUAUGGGAGUGAGAAUGUUGGCAUGAGUAGCGAGAUGUGGGUGAGAAUCCCACAGGCCGUAAACCCAAGGUUUCCAGGGGAAGGUUCGUCCGCCCUGGGUUAGGCGGGACCUAAGCUGAGGCCGAAAGGCGUAGGUGAUGGACAACAGGUUGAUAUUCCUGUACUACCGAUAACCGUUUGAGAGAAGGGAUGACACAGUAGGAUAAGCUAAGCACACUGUUGGUUAUGUGUGCCCAAGCAUUGAGGCAGUCAAAGUAGG
Molecule: ribosomal RNA, 343 nt
Filed under: Clostridioides difficile
Lineage: Bacteria; Bacillati; Bacillota; Clostridia; Peptostreptococcales; Peptostreptococcaceae
Description: bacterial LSU rRNA
Rfam family: Bacterial large subunit ribosomal RNA
Source: RNAcentral